GGGGAAUAUUGCACAAUGGGCGAAAGCCUGAUGCAGCAACGCCGCGUGAGUGAUGAAGGUCUUCGGAUUGUAAAGCUCUGUCUUUUGGGACGAUAAUGACGGUACCAAAGGAGGAAGCCACGGCUAACUACGUGCCAGCAGCCGCGGUAAUACGUAGGUGGCGAGCGUUGUCCGGAUUUACUGGGCGUAAAGGGUGCGUAGGCGGAUGUUUAAGUGAGAUGUGAAAUACCCGGGCUUAACUUGGGUGCUGCAUUUCAAACUGGAUAUCUAGAGUGCAGGAGAGGAGAAUGGAAUUCCUAGUGUAGCGGUGAAAUGCGUAGAGAUUAGGAAGAACACCAGUGGCGAAGGCGAUUCUCUGGACUGUAACUGACGCUGAGGCACGAAAGCGUGGGUAGCAAACAGGAUUAGAUACCCUGGUAGUCCACGCCGUAAACGAUGAGUACUAGGUGUAGGAGGUAUCGACCCCUUCUGUGCCGCAGUAAACACAUUAAGUACUCCGCCUGGGAAGUACGAUCGCAAG
This 520-nucleotide ribosomal RNA is filed under the name uncultured bacterium. Its description in RNAcentral is "partial 16S ribosomal RNA". It matches the Rfam family "Bacterial small subunit ribosomal RNA", at positions 356 to 892 of the family's 1533-position model. The record is from RNAcentral.